This is a non-coding RNA of Struthio camelus australis, 1528 nucleotides long. The record is from RefSeq and is a predicted model, not a curated record. Lineage: Eukaryota; Metazoa; Chordata; Aves; Struthioniformes; Struthionidae.
UGCCAGACACAAAGGUGAACGACUAAGGUGUGAGGAGGGCACAGAGUUUUAUCUGCUCACUAAACCCAGAAGGCCAAUGAAUGCAAUAGAGAAAGAUCCCAGACAAUGCUGGUUCAUUUGCUUGAACAGCUUUUUUACUUCCUUGAUGUGUUCCUAGCCUGCAUCGUACCUGCUCUCUGCUUGUUUUGCUCUCCUCGCUGAGCAAGCCAGCUCCUUUUAAUCUCUCCUCAUCUGUUAGUCUCCGCCAUCUACUAACCCUCCUUGCAUCAGGCCCAGUUUGAUUUAACUAUUUCUAGGAUCCUGGCUGGUGGCAAUGGGGGCAACAGGAACGGAGAGCAAAGGAGGCCGCCAGGAGACUGCUUCUGCUGUGCUCCCAGCGCCUUGCGCGGUGGUGCUUAGCCAGCAAGAGGAAGAAGCCGUGUGAUCCGAACGGAGAGAGAACAAACACAGGAACCGGCACGCUGCAGGAAAGGGCUGGAGAAAUACGCUGGGAUUGACAGAUUAAGGGACAAACCCUGAGACUGGCUGGAUCUGGAAGCUAGGUCAGGGAGCUGGAGCGGAAAAGCUGAAGUGUUCAGGAGGGCGACAGGCUGGACAAAGACUGGGGGGAGGAAACGGCCCUGCGGGGUAACGCUGGCACUGGCGACCCUCCUCGCUGGAGAGAGCCGAGCAGGGGAGGGCUACAGGCCUCACACGCAGGCAUGAAACUGCUUCUCGCCUCAGCAAAGCGUCUUGAACACGGCCCUGGUUGUCUGAUGGGUGAGGAAGGCAGGAGGUGUGAGCAGACGGCGCUCAGAGACAAACCGGGGCCAGGGCAGGCGCACGGCGUGUGCAACCAGGGGCCACCAGGAGAAACAGCAGUGAGGCAGGACAGAGCAAAGAGAUGAAGGAGCAGCCGAGCCUGGGCAUGGCUACGCUGAGGAUGCGGCGUGGAGGAGCGGUACAAGGACUGAUAAAGCAAGAGAACGACUGCAGUCAGCAGAGGAGUGAAGAUGAGAUGCGUGACCGAACAGGCAAGAGAAAGGAGCCAGUGGGGGGCAGAGACAGGUCGGGAACUGGCUGCAGGAGACAGGCCUGAAAGAGCCACGCUUGGGAAGAAGGCGCACAAAAAAGCACAUUUCCCUCAGCAGCCUGGCAUGAAACCAAAAUGUCGCCUCGACUCUGCCUUUAGCGAGUGUCUGAGAACGCCCCUAGAAGGAACGCCUCUUGCCCAAGGUUCGCGAUUCCCACGGGGGAAUACAAGUAUCGUCAGUCUCUUAAUUCCAAUAGCAGAAAAUCCUGUGGCAAAACCUGCUGAUGAGCCACCCAACAAAACUUUGUUUCUAAGUUUCUCUUUUUACAGCACUAGGAAAUUAAAUGCAGAAAGUUCCUGCUAAAAUGCUUUCCUUAAGCUUGCACAGUCAAAUGCUAAAAUGUUGCCAAAUGCCAGAUUCAAGUUUCACCAUACAACCUUAAUUCAGCCUCUUCACUAAUAUAUUAUGAUACAAUCAUAAUGAUGUGGUCAUAUACUAUUGCAUCCACUAUAACU